UGUAGCGUACCUACUAGCCUACGACGGGUACGGGUUGUGAGAGCAAGAGCCCGGAGAUGGAUUCUGAGACACGAAUCCAGGCCCUACGGGGUGCAGCAGGCGCGAAAACUUUACAAUGCUGGCAACAGCGAUAAGGGAACCUCGAGUGCCAGGUUACAAAUCUGGCUGUCGAGAUGCCUAAAAAGCAUUUCAUAGCAAGGGCCGGGCAAGACCGGUGCCAGCCGCCGCGGUAACACCGGCGGCUCGAGUGGUAACCGUUAUUAUUGGGUCUAAAGGGUCUGUAGCCGGCCGGAUAAGUCUCUUGAGAAAUCUGGCAGCUUAACUGUCAGGCUUUCAGGAGAUACUGUCUGGCUCGAGGCCGGGAGAGGUGAGAGGUACUUCAGGGGUAGGGGUGAAAUCUUGUAAUCCUUGAAGGACCACCAGUGGCGAAGGCGUCUCACCAGAACGGACCUGACGGCAAGGGACGAAAGCUAGGGGCACGAACCGGAUUAGAUACCCGGGUAGUCCUAGCCGUAAACGAUACUCGCUAGGUGUCGGCCACGGUGCGACCGUUGUCGGUGCCGUAGGGAAGCCGUGAAGCGAGC
This 584-nucleotide ribosomal RNA is filed under the name uncultured archaeon. RNAcentral describes it as "bacterial SSU rRNA". It matches the Rfam family "Archaeal small subunit ribosomal RNA", at positions 240 to 824 of the family's 1478-position model. The record is from RNAcentral.